UUUAGGGAGACCUACACCCCUCAGAAAUCGAAAACACACAGUGAAUAGAAACUGAGUUGGUCUAACCUAGGUCGUUCGAGAUUGGUAAAAGCUUUCAAAAUAUUUUGGGUUCAGUUGAUAAAUAGUUAAAGUCUAAUUGAUUAGUGGGAAAAAAGUUCAGCAACAUGGCUAGAACAAGCCAGACUGCUGGGUGAAAGUCCAGCCAGAACCUUGAAAACUGCAUAAGUAACGCGAAAAAAGCAGGCAGACACAGACAUUCAAGAAGUGAAAGUGUUUGCAGUGGAAAACCAAUUGUAUUGU
RNAcentral lists this unclassified non-coding RNA (300 nucleotides) under Cyanocohniella calida CCALA 1049. Its description in RNAcentral is "16S-23S ribosomal RNA intergenic spacer". Lineage: Bacteria; Bacillati; Cyanobacteriota; Cyanophyceae; Nostocales; Nodulariaceae. The record is from RNAcentral.